UUUUUCAACUGAUUUUUAUAGUUCGUUCUUAUGUUGUACUGUUAUACCACUGUCCCAGGUUAGGGGGAGGGUUGGGAUCCCGCUAACAUGUUUAACCCCGCCACAUUAUUUAUGUAUGUGCCUGUCCCAAGUCAGGAGCCUGUAUAUUCAGUGGUUGUCGUUUGUUUAUGUGUUACAUAUUUGUUUUUCGUUCAUUUUUUUUUUUACAUAAAUAAGGCCGUUAGCUUUCUCGUUUGAAUUGUUUUACAUUGUCUUAUCGGGGCCUUUUGUAGCUGACUAUGCGGUAUGGGCUUUGCUCAUUGUUGAAGGCCGUACGGUGACCUAUAGUUGUUAAUGUCUGUGUCAUUUUGGUCUUUUGUGGAUAGUUGUCUCAUUGGCAAUCAUACCACAUCUUCUUUUUUUUAUUUGUUCUUUUUUU
This 418-nucleotide long non-coding RNA is filed under the name Mytilus galloprovincialis (Mediterranean mussel). The record is from RNAcentral. Lineage: Eukaryota; Metazoa; Mollusca; Bivalvia; Mytilida; Mytilidae.